UUAGUCUUUGUUGAGUUCGCUCUGCAUUAGAAGAAAAGUCACAACACUCCAAGUUGAGUAUUAGACAAAUCCUCAGCAUGUACUUGGUUUGAUUAUGAUGAACUGCAACCUCCUAAGCCCUAGAUUUAUCAUGGCUUGGAUUGAGCACCAACUAAUCUCAAGUAUAGUUACAUAAUAGUUUUGGUAUCUCCAUUGUCAGCUAAAAGUUGCCUGGACCUUGUGUGUAUGCAUGUGUGCAAGUAUCUUUAUGCUUGUGGUAUAUGGAUUUUUUAAUUGACGUUUGCAACCCUUGAACUUGAAUGAAUAAUGCAAUUGUGUGUGCAUGUCUUGGUGACAAAAUAAGAAUGUCUUAAUUUUCCAAAUAACUGUUAUUUAGAUAUUUGAAUUGCAAUUAGCUCUUGGAUGAAUAAUGUGCAUGCUCAACUUCUCAUUCAUGCAUGUUGGUUGGAGGCAGGGGUGUGCAAAUAGUCGGUUUGAUUCAAACCAUAUCAAAAACUAAAAUUUAUUUUCUGAGAAACUGAAACGAAUUAUAUAGAGAAGUGAACCGAAUCAAAUUGAAAUAAAUUAAUUCGGUUUGGUCUGAUUAGUUCCAUGAACAGAAAAUCCUAAAUUACAGUCUCAUUCUUGCUGCAAUUUCAUGAACUAGAUUCUUCAGAACACCCUAAUUCUUGAUGCAAUUUCAAACACAAGAACACACUUUCAAAUUUCACAAUUCAUAAAUCAUCAACCAUAAAUCAUAAACCAAAUCCAAAUCAAAAUAAAAAGAUAAACAAAUUUGGAAGCUAGUUACUGGGUAUUGUUCAAUUUCGCCUUCUGAUUUCUUGGAUCUGGUCAUGGACUCACGAGAUUCAUCUUCUUUGUGAUUGAUGCCCCUGCAAAUAGAGAUAUUGUUGCUGUGUCAUUGUCCACCAGCGCUGACAACGAUGCUGUUCUAUCUGUCACUGCUCCUCUUGCCAAGGAUUCUUCCUUGCAUUUCCAGUCUCAUUGUUUCGUGGAGUGCCUCGCUAGUUUGUAUCAUCUCAAAUUAAAAAAAGAAGAUGAUCUCAAAGUAAUUAUAUGUAUAUUUAUAUAUUGAUAUGGUUGGGCUUUUGGAAUAGCAACAGCUGAGGUGAGAAGGACGGGUAACAGCAGUGGCAAGCAAGCUGCAUCACAUAAAAAUGUGGGAGAGAAUUGAGAGAGAGGGCAAAUGGGAAAAAUGCAGAGGGGGCCUGGAACAAAAUGACGCCAAAAGGGCCAAAACAACAAAACAGCAAUGUUGU
RNAcentral lists this unclassified non-coding RNA (1259 nucleotides) under Hevea brasiliensis (rubber tree). The record is from RNAcentral. Lineage: Eukaryota; Viridiplantae; Streptophyta; Magnoliopsida; Malpighiales; Euphorbiaceae.